RNAcentral lists this transfer RNA (87 nucleotides) under bacterium ADurb.BinA186. RNAcentral describes it as "tRNA-Ser". It matches the Rfam family "tRNA". Rfam says of the family: Transfer RNA (tRNA) molecules are approximately 80 nucleotides in length. The record is from RNAcentral.
GGUGGGAUGGCAGAGCGGUUAAAUGCGACGGUCUUGAAAACCGUUGGGAAUUAUUUCCCACGCGAGUUCGAAUCUCGCUCCCACCGC